CCUACGGGUGGCAGCAGUAGGGAAUUUUCCACAAUGGGCGAAAGCCUGAUGGAGCAACGCCGCGUGGGUGAAGAAGGUCUGCGGAGCGUAAAAACCUGUUGGUAGAGAAGAAAGUGCGUGAGAGUAACUGUUCACGUCUAGACGGUAUCUAACCAGAAAGCCACGGCUAACUACGUGCCAGCAGCCGCGGUAAUACGUAGGGGGCAAGCGUUAUCCGGAUUUAUUGGGCGUAAAGGGAACGCAGGCGGUCUUUUAAGUCUGAUGUGAAAGCCUUCGGCUUAACCGGAGUAGUGCAUUUGACACUGGGAGACUUGAGUGCAGCAGAGGCGAGUGGAACUCCAUGUGUAUCGGUGAAAUGCGUAGAUAUCU
Molecule: ribosomal RNA, 369 nt
Filed under: uncultured bacterium
Lineage: Bacteria
Description: partial 16S ribosomal RNA
Rfam family: Bacterial small subunit ribosomal RNA
Source: RNAcentral